GGAUCUUAUAUUCAUUAAAAUGAUAUUAAAUUGCAAAUUUAAAGGAGUAGAUUAUACUAAGAUUU
This 65-nucleotide transfer RNA is filed under the name Lutzomyia trinidadensis. RNAcentral's name for it is "tRNA-Cys". Lineage: Eukaryota; Metazoa; Arthropoda; Insecta; Diptera; Psychodidae. The record is from RNAcentral.